This 204-nucleotide long non-coding RNA is filed under the name Elaeis guineensis (African oil palm). RNAcentral describes it as "long non-coding RNA (EGUI_LNC009739)". Lineage: Eukaryota; Viridiplantae; Streptophyta; Magnoliopsida; Arecales; Arecaceae. The record is from RNAcentral.
CAGCAAUGUGAGAGCCAUAGUCGAGGGCCAAGAGGACAAGAAGGUGGUGAGGGUUGUGGGCUCUGACAAAGUGACAAGAAGCUAAGGCCCAGAGGACUGCUAACUAGAUGGUGGAGGAGAAAAGGUGGCUCUUCGGCCAUCAUCAACUCCCAUUUCUUCCCUCUUCGAACAACAAAACCCUAGCCAUCGUCUAAGGCUCUAAGC